This 620-nucleotide ribosomal RNA is filed under the name uncultured fungus. RNAcentral's name for it is "eukaryotic LSU rRNA". It matches the Rfam family "Eukaryotic large subunit ribosomal RNA", at positions 23 to 664 of the family's 3401-position model. The record is from RNAcentral. Lineage: Eukaryota; Fungi.
ACCCGCUGAACUUAAGCAUAUCAAUAAGCGGAGGAAAAGAAACCAACAGGGAUUACCUCAGUAACGGCGAGUGAAGCGGUAACAGCUCAAAUUUGAAAUCUGCCUACAGGCCGAGUUGUAAUUUGUAGAAGAUGCUUCGGGUGUGGCUCCGGUCUAAGUUCCUUGGAACAGGACGUCAUAGAGGGUGAGAAUCCCGUAUGUGACUGGAUGCCUAUGCUCAUGUGAAGCUCUUUCGACGAGUCGAGUUGUUUGGGAAUGCAGCUCAAAAUGGGUGGUAUAUUUCAUCUAAAGCUAAAUAUUGGCCAGAGACCGAUAGCGCACAAGUAGAGUGAUCGAAAGAUGAAAAGCACUUUGGAAAGAGAGUUAAACAGUACGUGGAAUUGUUGAAAGGGAAGCGCUUGCAACCAGACUUGCACGUUGUCGAUCAUCCGAUGUUUUCACCGGUGCACUCGAUUUCGUUCAGGCCAGCAUCGGUUUUGGUGGUUAGAUAAAGACCUUAGGAAUGUGGCUCUUUCGGGAGUGUUAUAGCCUGGGGUGUAAUGUAGCCUACUGGGACCGAGGACCGCGCUUCGGCUAGGAUGCUGGCGUAAUGGUUGUAAGCGACCCGUCUUGAAACACGG